This 54-nucleotide small nuclear RNA is filed under the name Astyanax mexicanus (Mexican tetra). RNAcentral describes it as "U7 small nuclear RNA (ENSAMXG00005006174.1)". It matches the Rfam family "U7 small nuclear RNA". Rfam says of the family: Animal histone pre-mRNAs are spliced by a different mechanism than nuclear pre-mRNAs and self-splicing introns. This processing involves the U7 snRNP, which contains only one RNA species: U7. The record is from RNAcentral. Lineage: Eukaryota; Metazoa; Chordata; Actinopteri; Characiformes; Acestrorhamphidae.
AAAUUUUACUCUUUUAGUAUUUGUCUAGCAGGCCUUCAAACAUUGAAGGCCCAC